Molecule: ribosomal RNA, 57 nt
Filed under: Xylaria telfairii
Lineage: Eukaryota; Fungi; Ascomycota; Sordariomycetes; Xylariales; Xylariaceae
Description: partial 28S ribosomal RNA
Source: RNAcentral
UUGACCUCGAACAGGUAGGGUUACCCGCUGAACUUAAGCAUAUCAAUAAGCGGAGGA